Molecule: ribosomal RNA, 521 nt
Filed under: Acinetobacter baumannii OIFC109
Lineage: Bacteria; Pseudomonadati; Pseudomonadota; Gammaproteobacteria; Moraxellales; Moraxellaceae
Also listed under: 1 other name
Description: bacterial SSU rRNA
Rfam family: Bacterial small subunit ribosomal RNA
Source: RNAcentral
AUGCAAGUCGAGCGGGGGAAGGUAGCUUGCUACCGGACCUAGCGGCGGACGGGUGAGUAAUGCUUAGGAAUCUGCCUAUUAGUGGGGGACAACAUCUCGAAAGGGAUGCUAAUACCGCAUACGUCCUACGGGAGAAAGCAGGGGAUCUUCGGACCUUGCGCUAAUAGAUGAGCCUAAGUCGGAUUAGCUAGUUGGUGGGGUAAAGGCCUACCAAGGCGACGAUCUGUAGCGGGUCUGAGAGGAUGAUCCGCCACACUGGGACUGAGACACGGCCCAGACUCCUACGGGAGGCAGCAGUGGGGAAUAUUGGACAAUGGGGGGAACCCUGAUCCAGCCAUGCCGCGUGUGUGAAGAAGGCCUUAUGGUUGUAAAGCACUUUAAGCGAGGAGGAGGCUACUUUAGUUAAUACCUAGAGAUAGUGGACGUUACUCGCAGAAUAAGCACCGGCUAACUCUGUGCCAGCAGCCGCGGUAAUACAGAGGGUGCGAGCGUUAAUCGGAUUUACUGGGCGUAAAGCGUGC